AGAUAGCUGACGAGUCCGAAAUAGGACGAAAUGCGCAUCUUGGAU
This 45-nucleotide non-coding RNA is filed under the name Trichobilharzia regenti. Lineage: Eukaryota; Metazoa; Platyhelminthes; Trematoda; Strigeidida; Schistosomatidae. The record is from RNAcentral.